GACGAACGCUGGCGGCGUGCCUAAUACAUGCAAGUAGGACGCUGAAGGAGGAGCUUGCUUCUCUGGAUGAGUUGCGAACGGGUGAGUAACGCGUAGGUAACCUGCCUGGUAGCGGGGGAUAACUAUUGGAAACGAUAGCUAAUACCGCAUAAUAGUAGAUGUUGCAUGACAUUUGCUUAAAAGGUGCAAUUGCAUCACUACCAGAUGGACCUGCGUUGUAUUAGCUAGUUGGUGGGGUAACGGCUCACCAAGGCGACGAUACAUAGCCGACCUGAGAGGGUGAUCGGACACACUGGGACUGAGACACGGCCCAGACUCCUACGGGAGGGAGCAGUAGGGAAUCUUCGGCAAUGGACGGAAGUCUGACCGAGCAACGCCGCGUGAGUGAAGAAGGUUUUCGGAUCGUAAAGAUCUGUUGUAAGAGAAGAACGAGUGUGAGAGUGGAAAGUUCACACUGUGACGGUAUCUUAACAGAAAGGGACGGCUAACUACGUG
This 495-nucleotide ribosomal RNA is filed under the name uncultured bacterium. RNAcentral's name for it is "partial 16S ribosomal RNA". It matches the Rfam family "Bacterial small subunit ribosomal RNA", at positions 28 to 507 of the family's 1533-position model. The record is from RNAcentral.